This 564-nucleotide ribosomal RNA is filed under the name uncultured Ralstonia sp. RNAcentral's name for it is "bacterial SSU rRNA". It matches the Rfam family "Bacterial small subunit ribosomal RNA", at positions 30 to 563 of the family's 1533-position model. Lineage: Bacteria; Pseudomonadati; Pseudomonadota; Betaproteobacteria; Burkholderiales; Burkholderiaceae. The record is from RNAcentral.
UGAACGCUGGCGGCAUGCCCUUACAGCAUACAAGUCGAACGGCAGCAUGCUCUAGCUUGCUAGAUUGAUGGCGAGUGGCGAACGGGUGAGUAAUACAUCGGAACGUGCCCUGUAGUGGGGGAUAACUAGUCGAAAGAUUAGCUAAUACCCGCAUACAGACCUGAGGGUGAAAGUGGGGGACCGCAAGGCCUCAUGCUAUAGGAGCGGCCGAUGUCUGAUUAGCUAGUUGGUGAGGUAAAGGCUCACCAAGGCGACGAUCAGUAACUGGUCUGAGAGGACGAUCAGCCACACUGGGACUGAGACACGGCCCACACUCCUACGAGGAGGCAGCAGUGGGGAAUUUUGGACAAUGGGGGCAACCCUGAUCCAGCAAUGCCGCGUGAUGUGAAGAAGGCCUUCAGAGGUUGUACAGCACUUUAUGUACCGGACAAGAAAUCGCAACUUACUAAUAUUAAGAGUGUGGAUGACGGUACCGGAAGAAUAAAGGACCAGGCUAACUCACGUGCCAGCACACGCGGUAAUACGAUAAGGUCCAAGACGUUAAAUCGGAAUUACUGGGCGUAA